UGGGGAAUAUUGCACAAUGGGCGCAAGCCUGAUGCAGCCAUGCCGCGUGUAUGAAGAAGGCCUUCGGGUUGUAAAGUACUUUCAGCGGGGAGGAAGGGAGUAAAGUUAAUACCUUUGCUCAUUGACGUUACCCGCAGAAGAAGCACCGGCUAACUCCGUGCCAGCAGCCGCGGUAAUACGGAGGGUGCAAGCGUUAAUCGGAAUUACUGGGCGUAAAGCGCACGCAGGCGGUUUGUUAAGUCAGAUGUGAAAUCCCCGGGCUCAACCUGGGAACUGCAUCUGAUACUUGCAAGCUUGAGUCUCGUAGAGGGGGGUAGAAUUCCAGGUGUAGCGGUGAAAUGCGUAGAGAUCUGGAGGAAUACCGGUGGCGAAGGCAGCCCCCUGGACGAAGACUGACGCUCAGGUGCGAAAGCGUGGGGAGCAAACAGG
This 429-nucleotide ribosomal RNA is filed under the name Chloroflexota bacterium. RNAcentral describes it as "Chloroflexi bacterium partial 16S ribosomal RNA". It matches the Rfam family "Bacterial small subunit ribosomal RNA", at positions 355 to 776 of the family's 1533-position model. The record is from RNAcentral. Lineage: Bacteria; Bacillati; Chloroflexota.